AGGGGAGAAGAUUUGAGGUCGAGGGGAGAACGGGGAGGAGGUUUGGGGUCAAGGUGAGAAUAUUUGGGGUCGAGGGGGGGAAUGGGGAGAAGGCUUGGGGUCAAUCAGAGGAGUUUUGGGGUCGAGGGGAGAAUGGGGAGGAGGUUUGGGGUUGAGGGGAGAAUAUUUGGGGUCGAGAGGAGAUUUGGGGUCAUGGGGAGAACAGGCAGGAGAAGUCUUGGACACGAGGAGGAGGAGGGGCAGGAGAAGACUUGGGGUCAUGGGAGGGGGCAGGAGGAGGUGGGACAGGGCGGGACCUGACAGAAGGCUGGAUUUGGGGGUGGGGGGGGGUCCAGGUGGUGACCCCAAACCCCCCCCGGUGCCUCCCCCCAGGCCCGGCUGCGGCUGGUGGACGUGGUGGAGAAGGAGGACAUCAACGAGGCCAUGAGGCUGAUGGAGAUGUCCAAGGACUCGCUGCAGGGGGACAGGGGACAGCAGGGACGCCCCCCCCGGCCGUCGGAUGCCAUCUUCGCGGCGCUGCGGGAGCUGGCGGGNNNNNNNNNNNNNNNNNNNNNNNNNNNNNNNNNNNNNNNNNNNNNNNNNNNNNNNNNNGGGCGGGGGGCUGGGAACAGGUGGGGAGGGCUCCAGGGGUCUUCAGGGGUCUUCGGGGGGUGAUGGGGAGGGGCUGGGGGAGCUCCUGGGGGAGUGGGGUCAACCCAACGGCGUCUUCUUGGGGUUGGAGGAGGUCCCGUGGGAUCGCCGAGGGGGUGUGGGGGCGAUUGGGGACGUCCUACGGUGUCUUCGUGGGGUCAUGAGGGGUCCCAUGGCAUUUUGGGGGGGGCAUGAGAUGUCCCAUGGCGUGUUUUUGGGGUCAUGAGAUGUCCCACGGUGUCUUUUUGGGUUCGUGGGAGGUCCCGUGGGGUCACCGGAGGGGGUGGGGACACUUGGGGACACCCCAACGGCGUCUUCAUGGGGUCAUGAGAUGUUACUUGGCGUGUUUUUGGGGUCACGGGGGUCCCAUGGCAUGUUUUGGGGGUCAUGAGAUGUCCCAUUGGAUUUUAGGGUCGUGGGAGGUCCUAUGGGAUCACCAGAGGGUGUGGGGACACUUGGGGACACCCCAGUGGCGUCUUUGUGGGGUCAUGAGAUGUCCCAUGGUGUCUUUUUGGGGUCAUGAGAUGUCCCAUGGCAUUUUUGGGGGUCAUGAGAUGUCCCAUUGGAUUUUUUGGGGUCGGAGGAGGUCCCAUGGGAUCUCCAGGUGCCGUGGGGCCAAUUGGGGACCCCCCCCACCCUCUCCCUUUUCCCUCCAGUUUCUUGUUCUCUGUUUUUUUAACCAAUAAACUGUUUUUUUAGGGUUUGUUCUGAAACUGGGGGUGCUGCUUCUUCCUUCCUGUGCCCCCCCCCCU
Molecule: long non-coding RNA, 1382 nt
Filed under: Anas zonorhyncha (Eastern spot-billed duck)
Lineage: Eukaryota; Metazoa; Chordata; Aves; Anseriformes; Anatidae
Description: lncRNA (ENSAZOG00000010336.1)
Source: RNAcentral